Molecule: long non-coding RNA, 228 nt
Filed under: Elaeis guineensis (African oil palm)
Lineage: Eukaryota; Viridiplantae; Streptophyta; Magnoliopsida; Arecales; Arecaceae
Description: long non-coding RNA (EGUI_LNC040426)
Source: RNAcentral
GGCUCACUACCAAAAGGAGGAGGAGAAUGAUUUUACUUCACAGAAACUAUUGUAUUAGCUAGAUCCAAUGGAUUAUCAUGAUCAAACUUAUUGACAAAUAAAAAAUUAGGAGACCGAGGUCACUUGGCUUAAUGUUGUGGCAUUUGGAUAAGGGCCAAAUUUGAAUUGGGCCAACAUGUUCAGCCUACUAUACCCCAUCUAAUGCGCUAAAAGGAUUAAUCCCAGCCU